AGAACUGCCGUUGAUACUGCUAGUCUUGAGUAUAGUUGAGGUAGCUGGAAUGAGUAGUGUAGCGGUGAAAUGCAUAGAUAUUACUCAGAACACCGAUUGCGAAGGCAGGUUACCAAGUUAUAACUGACGCUGAGGGACGAAAGCGUGGGGAGCGAACAGGAUUAGAUACCCUGGUAGUCCACGCCGUAAACGAUGCUAACUCGUUUUUGGGCUUUAGGGUUCAGAGACUAAGCGAAAGUGAUAAGUUAGCCACCUGGGGAGUACGACCGCAAGGUUGAAACUCAAAGGAAUUGACGGGGGCCCGCACAAGCGGUGGAUCAUGUGGUUUAAUUCGAUGAUACGCGAGGAACCUUACCAAGGCUUAAAUGGGAAUUGACAGCUGUAGAAAUACGGUUUUCUUCGGACAAUUUUCAAGGUGCUGCAUGGUUGUCGUCAGCUCGUGCCGUGAGGUGUUAGGUUAAGUCCUGCAACGAGCGCAACCCCUGUCACUAGUUGCCAUCAUUAAGUUGGGGACUCUAGUGAGACUGCCUACGCAAGUAGAGAGGAAGGUGGGGAUGACGUCAAAUCAUCACGGCCCUUACGCCUUGGGCCACACACGUGAUACAAUGGCCGGUACAGAGGGCAGCUACACUGCGAAG
Molecule: ribosomal RNA, 638 nt
Filed under: Riemerella anatipestifer
Lineage: Bacteria; Pseudomonadati; Bacteroidota; Flavobacteriia; Flavobacteriales; Weeksellaceae
Description: bacterial SSU rRNA
Rfam family: Bacterial small subunit ribosomal RNA
Source: RNAcentral